Molecule: ribosomal RNA, 240 nt
Filed under: uncultured bacterium
Lineage: Bacteria
Description: partial 16S ribosomal RNA
Rfam family: Bacterial small subunit ribosomal RNA
Source: RNAcentral
GAGCGUUGUCCGGAUUUAUUGGGCGUAAAGAGCGUGUAGGCGGCUUGGUAGGUCUCGCGUCAAAACCUGAGGCUCAACCUCAGUUCGCGUGGGAAACCACCUAGCUAGAGUCCGGAAGAGGAGAACGGAAUUCCCAGUGUAGCGGUGAAAUGCGCAGAUAUUGGGAAGAACACCAGUGGCGAUGGCGGUUCUCUGGUACGGUACUGACGCUGAGACGCGAAAGCGUGGGGAGCGAGCAGG